Molecule: long non-coding RNA, 346 nt
Filed under: Nicotiana benthamiana
Lineage: Eukaryota; Viridiplantae; Streptophyta; Magnoliopsida; Solanales; Solanaceae
Description: long non-coding RNA (NBEN_LNC023119)
Source: RNAcentral
AUUCAACAUGAUUUGCUUCUCUUGACUAGCUUCAGCAGAUGCAACUGCAUGCUGAAGACGAAGCUCAGAAUCCCUCAACUGCUUCUCUAGUAAAUUUGUCCUCUCAGAUUUAAUGCUACUACUGCUUUUUAGGAGGUUCAGCUCUUUCUCAAGUUCCACAUUAGCUUCUGAUUUAUCCUCUCUGCUUUAAUGCUGCUACUGCUUUUUAGGAGGUUCAGCUCUUUGUCAAGUUCCAGAUUAGCUUCUUUCAAUAAUUUGCACUCAGAUUCAAACUCCAGAUUUUUCUUUGCAGAUGAUGUAUAAUUGGACAGCUGAAACUCAGAAUCCUCCAAUCGUUGUUCAAGAA